This 167-nucleotide ribosomal RNA is filed under the name uncultured bacterium. RNAcentral describes it as "partial 16S ribosomal RNA". It matches the Rfam family "Bacterial small subunit ribosomal RNA", at positions 340 to 524 of the family's 1533-position model. The record is from RNAcentral.
UACGGGAGGCAGCAGUGAGGAAUCUUCCACAAUGGGGGCAACCCUGAUGGAGCAACGCCGCGUGCAGGAUGAAGGCCUUCGGGUUGUAAACUGCUUUUAUAAGUGAGGAAUAUGACGGUAACUUAUGAAUAAGGAUCGGCUAACUACGUGCCAGCAGCCGCGGUAAU